Molecule: ribosomal RNA, 253 nt
Filed under: uncultured bacterium
Lineage: Bacteria
Description: partial 16S ribosomal RNA
Rfam family: Bacterial small subunit ribosomal RNA
Source: RNAcentral
UACAGAGGUCCCGAGCGUUGUUCGGAUUCAUUGGGCGUAAAGGGUGCGUAGGCGGCGGGGCCAGUCUGAUGUGAAAUCCCGGGGCUCAACCCCGGAACUGCAUUGGAUACUGCCUUGCUCGAGUACUGGAGAGGGAACUGGAAUUUACGGUGUAGCAGUGAAAUGCGUAGAGAUCGUAAGGAAGGCCAGUGGCGAAGGCGAGUUCCUGGACAGUAACUGACGCUGAGGCACGAAGGCCAGGGGAGCAAACGGG